UGGGGAAUUUUGGACAAUGGGGGCAACCCUGAUCCAGCCAUUCCGCGUGAGUGAAGAAGGCCUCGGGUUGUAAAGCUCUUUUGUCCGGAACGAAACGGUUGAGGCUAAUACUCUCGACUACUGACGGUACCGGAAGAAUAAGCGCCGGCUAACUCCGUGCCAGCAGCCGCGGUAAUACGUAGGGUGCAAGCGUUAAUCGGAAUUACUGGGCGUAAAGCGUGCGCAGGCGGCUUUUUAAGCCAGAUGUGAAAUCCCCGGGCUCAACCUGGGAACUGCAUUUGUGACUGCAAGGCUGGAGUGCGGCAGAGGGGGAUGGAAUUCCGCGUGUAGCAGUGAAAUGCGUAGAUAUGCGGAGGAACACCGAUGGCGAAGGCAAUCCCCUGGGCCUGCACUGACGCUCAUGCACGAAAGCGUGGGGAGCGAACAGGAUUAGAUACC
This 438-nucleotide ribosomal RNA is filed under the name uncultured bacterium. RNAcentral's name for it is "bacterial SSU rRNA". It matches the Rfam family "Bacterial small subunit ribosomal RNA", at positions 355 to 786 of the family's 1533-position model. The record is from RNAcentral.